AGAGUUUGAUCAUGGCUCAGAUUGAACGCUGGCGGCAUGCCUUACACAUGCAAGUCGAACGGCAGCAUGAUCUAGCUUGCUAGAUUGAUGGCGAGUGGCGAACGGGUGAGUAAUACAUCGGAACGUGCCCUGUAGUGGGGGAUAACUAGUCGAAAGAUUAGCUAAUACCGCAUACGACCUGAGGGUGAAAGUGGGGGACCGCAAGGCCUCAUGCUAUGGGAGCGGCCGAUGCCUGAUUAGCUAGUUGGUGAGGUAAAGGCUCACCAAGGCGACGAUCAGUAGCUGGUCUGAGAGGACGAUCAGCCACACUGGGACUGAGACACGGCCCAGACUCCUACGGGAGGCAGCAGUGGGGAAUUUUGGACAAUGGGCGAAAGCCUGAUCCAGCAAUGCCGCGUGUGUGAAGAAGGCCUUCGGGUUGUAAAGCACUUUUGUCCGGAAAGAAAUGGCUCUGGUUAAUACCUGGGGUCGAUGACGGUACCGGAAGAAUAAGGACCGGCUAACUACGUGCCAGCAGCCGCGGUAAUACGUAGGGUCCAAGCGUUAAUCGGAAUUACUGGGCGUAAAGCGUGCGCAGGCGGUUGUGCAAGACCGAUGUGAAAUCCCCGAGCUUAACUUGGGAAUUGCAUUGGUGACUGCACGGCUAGAGUGUGUCAGAGGGGGGUAGAAUUCCACGUGUAGCAGUGAAAUGCGUAGAGAUGUGGAGGAAUACCGAUGGCG
RNAcentral lists this ribosomal RNA (720 nucleotides) under uncultured bacterium. RNAcentral's name for it is "bacterial SSU rRNA". It matches the Rfam family "Bacterial small subunit ribosomal RNA", at positions 8 to 717 of the family's 1533-position model. The record is from RNAcentral.